GGAACAUCAUAUUAUUCACCCAAACAUCACCAUGGUUCAACACAUGAUAACGGUCCGUUUGACUGCGACUGAAAACAUUUAUCAUCUUUGGAAUGAUUUUUUCACCGAAAGUUUGCAAUUUUGACGUCAUGCAGAGGCGAAGGAUGUUCGGAUAUAUUGCUGGGUAAAUGAUGGCGGAAUGUAUCUGAAUUCUACAAAAUUCAAACAAUUAGCAGAGAACCAUGGUGGCUGCGUGGAAUUUGGCCAAUUUCUCCAGUAUCAAACGACAACAUUCAAAAUCCAAUCCAGUCUUAACAUUUUCUAUAAAAAAUCCUUGGAGUUUAAGGUUUUCCAGAACUAUAAUGCGUUCAUCCACAUAAAUUGCUCUAUAAUGGUAAUGAGUAAAAUUAGCGACUAAAUCAAUUUGUUUUUAUGGUAUAUGUAUCUCCAAAACGCUUUUGAAAUUCUGAUAUUACAAAAGGCCUUUAACAGAUUUAAAUACGCAAUAUACCUGCACGAUUGCUCUUAAAUAUUAA
Bactrocera tryoni is the source of this 515-nucleotide long non-coding RNA. RefSeq lists it as uncharacterized. The record is from RefSeq and is a predicted model, not a curated record. Lineage: Eukaryota; Metazoa; Arthropoda; Insecta; Diptera; Tephritidae. The transcript has 3 exons.